RNAcentral lists this transfer RNA (89 nucleotides) under Buchnera aphidicola (Sipha maydis). RNAcentral describes it as "tRNA-Ser". It matches the Rfam family "tRNA". Rfam says of the family: Transfer RNA (tRNA) molecules are approximately 80 nucleotides in length. The record is from RNAcentral. Lineage: Bacteria; Pseudomonadati; Pseudomonadota; Gammaproteobacteria; Enterobacterales; Erwiniaceae.
AGUGAGAUGGCUGAGUGGUUGAAAGCACUCCCCUGCUAAGAGAGUAUGUGUAGAAAUACGCGUCGAGGGUUCGAAUCCCUCUCUCACUA